RNAcentral lists this ribosomal RNA (504 nucleotides) under uncultured bacterium. RNAcentral's name for it is "partial 16S ribosomal RNA". It matches the Rfam family "Bacterial small subunit ribosomal RNA", at positions 28 to 523 of the family's 1533-position model. The record is from RNAcentral.
GAUAAACGCUAGCGGCAGGCUUAACACAUGCAAGUCGAGGGGCAGCAUAGAUUGUAGCAAUACAAUUGGUGGCGACCGGCGCACGGGUGCGUAACGCGUAUGCAACCUACCCGUCACAGGGGGAUAAUCCGGAGAAAUCUGGUCUAAUACCCCAUAACAUAUGGAUCGGCAUCGGUUCAUGUUGAAAUUUUCGGAGGUGACGGAUGGGCAUGCGUAGCAUUAGCUUGUUGGUGAGGUAACGGCUCACCAAGGCGACGAUGCUUAGGGGGACUGAGAGGAUUUCCCCCCACACGGGUACUGAGACACGGACCAGACUCCUACGGGAGGCAGCAGUGAGGAAUAUUGGUCAAUGGGCGCAAGCCUGAACCAGCCAUGCCGUGUGCAGGAUGACGGCUCUAUGAGUUGUAAACUGCUUUUGUACGAGGGUAAAGUGGGUUACGUGUAACCUUUUGAAAGUAUCGUACGGAUAAGGAUCGGCUAACUCCGUGCCAGCAGCCGCGGUAA